ACUACCAUCUUUAGGUUGGAUUUAGAGGUUGUGGAAGGGGGAGGUGCUGUUGAAAUACAGUGAAAACCUGCUUAGAUGAAAUACUAAGGAAAGAGCACAGUAUAUCAAAAGUGAAUGAUCCCUAAGUACUGUAGAAACUUAGAGAAGAAAUUUGAUAUAACCUAGUAUGGCAGAGAAUUGGGCCGUUUCUAGGGACUUUUUUACUCAUAUUGCCAGAACUUUUUGCAGCUGCUUUAGGCAGAAUGCAACCUCACAGUCCCAUCUUAAGAGGAAGCAUUGAAACCAGAGUCCAUUGUGUGUUGCCUUGGAAAUGCUGAAAAAGCUCCUCGUAAACCUGUCUGCUGAUUUGGCUAUUUGUCCAGAUACUUAGUAUUAGAAUCAUUGAACCUUAAUGUUGGUGUUGAAUGUACCAUUUCUGCUACUUCUCUAGCUGGUAUGGGUCCUUGCUGUCCCAUCUGCAUAACUGCCUAGGACAGCACUCCAUGUGUUAUAAACAUUGCUUGCGUCCAAGGAUAGUGGACAGUAUAUUGGCUCCCCCUUCCCCCGCCCCUCCAUAUUGCCAUAAAAUUCCCAAACUAUUCAGUACACUUUAAUUUCCAAGAUUAUUAAUUUGUACAGAUGUUGGGGGGAGAGGUAGACAGUUACCAUCAUUAAUAUGCUGCAUUACUUUAUACCAUUGAAUAAUGUAAAACAUUUUUUUAAAUUUUUUUAUCAUUUAAAAACAUCUCUUUAAGCUGGAAGCUCUUUGACAUCUUUUGGAACAGAAACAUCAAACAGUGGUACCUUACCCCAAAGUAGUGCGGUUGGUUCUGCCUUUACACAGGAUACAAGAUCUCUAAAAACACAGUUAUCUCAAGGUCGCUCAAGCCCUCAGUUAGACCCUUUGAGAAAAAGCCCAACCAUGGAACAAGCAGUGCAGACCGCCUCGGCCCACUUACCUGCUCCAGCAGCUGUUGGGAGAAGGAGUCCUGUAUCAACCAGGCCUUUGCCAUCUACCAGCCAAAAGGCAGGAGAGAAUCCGGAGCACAGGCGAGCUGAAGUACACAAAGUUUCAAGGCCAGAAAAUGAGCAACUCAGAAAUGAUAACAAGAGACAAGUAGCUCCAGGUGCUCCUUCAGCUCCAAGGAGAGGGCGUGGGGGUCAUCGGGGUGGCAGGGGAAGAUUUGGUAUUCGGCGAGAUGGGCCAAUGAAAUUUGAGAAAGACUUUGACUUUGAAAGUGCAAAUGCACAAUUCAACAAGGAAGAGAUUGACAGAGAGUUUCAUAAUAAACUUAAAUUAAAAGAAGAUAAACUUGAGAAACAGGAGAAGCCUGUAAAUGGUGAAGAUAAAGGAGACUCAGGAGUUGAUACCCAAAACAGUGAAGGAAAUGCUGAUGAAGAAGAUCCACUUGGACCUAAUUGCUAUUAUGACAAAACUAAAUCCUUCUUCGAUAAUAUUUCUUGUGAUGACAAUAGAGAACGGAGACCAACCUGGGCUGAAGAAAGAAGAUUAAAUGCUGAAACAUUUGGAAUCCCACUUCGUCCAAACCGUGGCCGUGGGGGAUACAGAGGCAGAGGAGGUCUUGGUUUCCGUGGUGGCAGAGGGCGUGGUGGUGGCAGAGGUGGUACCUUCACUGCCCCUCGAGGAUUUCGCGGUGGAUUCAGAGGAGGUCGUGGGGGCCGGGAGUUUGCAGAUUUUGAAUAUAGGAAAGACAACAAAGUUGCUGCAUAGUCUACAAACAAGUCUCUGAAAAUAGGUGAAUUUCUAGCUCUUCAUGGUCCUGAACAUUGAUUUCAGUCUUUGCGAAGAAUGAAGAAGUGAAUUCGCUGUACAUUUGUCACCAGCACUGGGUUUUUGUUUUUUGUUUGUUUUUCCCCUUAAUUUCAAAGAUAAAAUGCAGUUACUUUUGGGGGUGGAAGGCUCAUCUUAAAACAUGAGCAUUAAAUAUAUUUGGAAUAGCAGAAGGUUAAGUAAUUUCUUAUGUAUAGUUAAACUAAAGCAGUACUUCAGUGGGACUUACAAGUAUUUUUUCAUCACUGAAAGGUUUUUUUUUUAUCACUAAAUUGUAUUUGGCAAUUGCAAGUUGCCUGCAGAUAGGGCCGUGAUACUGUGUUUUGAGCCACAGAAGGUUGUGUGUGUGUGCGUGUGCGUGUGUGUGUGUGUAUCUUUUUCCUCCUUUCUUUUGGGGAAUCCUGUAAUAUGAGGUAGCUUAUUUCGUCAAUUAAUUAGGGUGCUGGAUGGUAGAGAAUUUUGUCAGUCAACUAUGUACACACAGUAAAUACUGUUUCUUAGGCAAAGGUAACUUUUUUAUAUAGUUGUAAAAUUCCAUUAUAUUCCAUUGCCAAAGAAACAUUAAGAACUUUGUAUAGCUGUAUAAAAAGCAACUAAUUUUUUAAAGAAUAAACAUUUUAAAGUCAGCAAACAUACUGUGUCCUUGCAGAAGUUGAUGUGCUGAGCAGCAGCAUUAUGGGUGGGUCUUUUUUUCUUAGUUUUCCAGGCUUAACGUUUUUGAUUUUGUUUUUUAAUGUUUGGAACAUAAAUGAAGAUUUGAUACAUUCUUUCAUUAUCUAAAAAGGAUUAAUUAUUCAUGCUCAUUGUAAGAACUUCAUUUUGUAGCAAAUGGCAUAUCACAGGAUCUGUCCAGAUAAUCGAUAUUUUCAGUAUGCAAAUGUAAAUAAUCACAGAUGAGAAUGUACUUAGCUGUAUUUUCAAAUAAGUAAUCUUCCCCCACCUUUUUUAGGACUUUAAAACUAGGCAUCAAUGAACCUGUUUUUCCUAUUAUGCCUGGAAUUUAGUCAUGAUACCUUGACUCAUUCCAUCAUAUUUCAAGAGGAUUCAGAGUACUAGAAAUUAUUUUGGUAGCCUGCAACACAUGGCAACACUGGUCCUUGGGCCUAUGACCCACAGAUGACUCAGUAUAGAGUUCAUUGCUAAUUAUAAAUUACUAGUGAAUCUUUUUGAUAUUUUAAGCUCUAGUGGGAAAAAUCUGGCCACUUUUGUGUUUUUAUGAAGGCCAUGGAAUAAAAGGAUCCAAAGAUUUAAAUAUUUUUAUCUAAUAUUUUGAUUGUUUUGUUAACUUUCUCAAAACAUUCAGUAGUGAUAAGGAUAUAGAAACUGCACUGUAGGAGAAUUGGAAUAUUUAAGGCUGGCUGACAUUUUUUAUUUUAAUUUUAUAUCUUUUGUAUAGCUCUACAAGGCAGUGUUUUGUAAUGUGGUUUCAUUAUGAAGAUCCAGUACUUGGCAGCCAUAGUUGAGAUAAUAUUGUUCAGUGCUGUUUGCUUGCAUGUCAACAACAAAACCUUUUAGAGGACCCACAAAUCAUGAUAUUGAACACAUUUCUGAGGCAUUCAGAGCAUCAAAGCAAAUACCAUGGCAAUACAUGUGUAGACUGUUUGAGAUGUCCCAGGCCAAUUUCAAGAAAGAAAACUGUAAAUACUAGUUCUACUUGCUCUGAAAUUAUUAGUUCAUGCGUUUUCCCAGCCCUCCGAAUCACUGACUGGGGCGUUUUGUGCCCCAACAAUAACUGGCAGCAUGGCAUACCUGCAGUACACCUUACAAUAUUAAAGCAAAGUUUUUAUUCUAAAACAGAAUAAAACUGUUC
Molecule: small RNA, 3581 nt
Filed under: Pongo abelii (Sumatran orangutan)
Lineage: Eukaryota; Metazoa; Chordata; Mammalia; Primates; Hominidae
Description: retained intron
Source: RNAcentral